UUUUGGACAAUGGGGGCAACCCUGAUCCAGCAAUGCCGCGUGAGUGAAGAAGGCCUUCGGGUUGUAAAGCUCUUUUGUCCGGGAAGAAAUCCCAUCUGUUAAUACCGGGUGGGGAUGACGGUACUGGAAGAAUAAGCACCGGCUAACUACGUGCCAGCAGCCGCGGUAAUACGUAGGUGGCGAACGUUAUCCGGAGUGACUGGGUGUAAAGGGUCCGUAGGCGGGAGGACAAGUCUGACGUGAAAGCGCCCGGCUCAACUGGGCGAGUGCGUUGGAAACUGUCUUUCUUGAAUCACGCAGAGGUCGGCGGAAUUCCCGGUGUAGUGGUGGAAUGCGUAGAGAUCGGGAGGAACCUCGAAAGCGAAGGCAGCCGACUGGGGGAUGAUUGACGCUGAGGGACGAAAGCGUGGGGAGCGAAC
This 419-nucleotide ribosomal RNA is filed under the name uncultured bacterium. RNAcentral's name for it is "bacterial SSU rRNA". It matches the Rfam family "Bacterial small subunit ribosomal RNA", at positions 362 to 773 of the family's 1533-position model. The record is from RNAcentral.